CGUAAUAAUAGAAACUAACCAGGAUUCCCUUAGUAACGGCGAGUGAACUGGGAUACCAACAAAAUACAUGUGCCUCGCGCGCAUGAUUUAGCCCGUCGAUACUAUCCUAGCAUAUUACCGGUCUCGGCCGGUAACCCAAUAUGCGGGAAUUGUAGCAUCGUAAUAAAAAUAAAAUAUAUACACGCACACACACCCACCGCGUACAUUCUUGUAAACACACAGCGUCUCCGCGUUGGAAAGCAAGUUUAUAUCCUCUUUGGAUAUGCCAUAGAGUGUGACAGCCACGUUUCACUCAUAUAACACGUACGCACACACACACACACGCCCCGUGCACUAAUAUAUAUUUCUAUAACCUGAGUCGAGUUAUUU
Molecule: ribosomal RNA, 369 nt
Filed under: Ammonia sp.
Lineage: Eukaryota; Foraminifera; Rotaliida; Rotaliidae
Also listed under: 1 other name
Description: partial large subunit ribosomal RNA
Source: RNAcentral